GUUAUUUAAGCACUUACCUCGCAGCCCCAGGUCCGACACAAGAGGGCCUCCCUCCUCCUCUAACCUAAUUCAAAAGUCAACAGACUCGCAGCAGGAACAGAGGGAGCGUCGAUCAGUGGCCUAUAGGUGGGUUAGUCUCUGCUUUAAAGAUUAGCAAAUACCUACCUCGACCGGCGGAGCCCUCCAUUCCUGUCCCAGCAGCAGAAAGAGUGGGAGCUCGAACCGAGAAGGACUCUCGUGUGUUGUUAAGUGUUCUUAUCCACAGGGAACAAUGAAGACUCGGUUAUUGAAGAUAUUCUAAACUGAACUCAACUGACCUUUGAUGGACAGGAGAGUCAAUAUUUAUUCGGAUGAAACAGGAAAGGCGUGUUCAACCAUAAACAGAUCAUCCGUGAUCUUUCCAUUUUGAGCAGCAGACUUGAAGGUCCAAAGGGCCACCUCCAGUGCCUAGCUGAUGUGUUGUUCUCUCGCUCCAUCCCUUGAUGAUGUUACAGGGGUAAGGUCAGUGUCUUGUUAUUGCAGCAAGUCCGUGAGGGUCUCCAAAAACGAACUUGACAUUUGGCGCAAGAGCAGGGUUCCAACACGUACAGCAGUCUCACGUGGAGGGCUGAAUAAGUGAUUGCUCGAGUGUCAGUGGAGUGAGACGGACGGGCCUGCAAGGUACGAUUCAGCUUGGUCUCUCUCACUAACCUGCCAUCCGUGCGACCCCUCGUCCCUGCGCGUCUCUGCACUGACGGAACCCGAGACAACUCACGGUGUUGAACACUGCUAAAUCCUAACGCCUGGAUGUUCGAGUCCCCAGGUGAAGUGCGCCUUCGGACCACCUCCGCAGACACCGGAACAAGACCUCGAGAUUCAGGAUCAAUCUACUUGGCCGCAGAUUGGAGAUUUUGUACUUGUCCGGGAAUGGGAUCGCCCCAAGCUUGGACCAAGGUGGACAGGACCAUACCAAGUGUUUCUUCAGACUCCGACAGCUCUUAACGUUAAAGGACAGAAUCGCUGGAUCCACUUAAGUGGCUGUAAAUGAUGGAUUUCCUCAUCGACGUGCAGUUAACCAUUGGACUGAGUGUUAUUCUGCCCACGCAUGGCCAGCAGGACAAUCUGUUUUAAAGAACACACAUCCGGCUGCACGGGAAUCGGACAGCAUGUUACCCGCUAGCAUGGUCUGUAGAAGCAUUAUUUGUGGCAACACCUGCCUGGAACCCUAGUCAGCUUUAUGAAAUAGAGUAUUCCGGUAAGCCUUGCCAAGGGGAGAGGGGAACUUGUACAGGGGUGUGCAGGGUACAUGUGUGCAACUGGUAGUUAGUGGUCUCUCUGGUUGUGGGGACACUCGACCUGGGCAUGGGAAGGAAGGGGCUAGCUAUACAGGUCCCAACAGCUAUCUGUUUUGCUUUAAUGGAACCCGGACUUGUUGUGUGCCUGUUGUGGUUACUAAUCACCCCCAUAAUGUUUCCUGGCCCCAGCGGUGAGUAAGGAGAAAUUGCACCACAAUAGGAGGAUUGUUGAACUGCCCCUGCUUGAAAUCUAAGCCCAUAACUGUGACCCCGGGCAUACAGUGGACUUGUGGGGAUUGCAAUAGCACUCAUGUAAAAACAGACUAUGGCUCAUUUCCAUUUAACUCCGCAAAUUUCAAUCCACAUCGGGGUCAGUCCUCCUGGCAUAGCUGUCAAGAAAUAUGUGAGUCUGUUUGCGUUCUUAACGAGACCUUCACUGCUGCCACUCCAACCCUGCCGGUGCUGUUUGCUGUUGGGACCAUUGGGCCCCUCACGGCCCCUUGUCCCCAACAAGCACAAAUUCAACGGCGAAUUGUCACACACUUCCUGACCCGGGAGUUUUGCGCUGCCUGGCAGAACCCAGUUGCCCUGGGCUCUUCCUUAGGACACGGCUUCCUGGGAACUGUCGGCUUGGGAGGCUCCCCUGGGUUGGUGGCCACAAAAGAAAAUGCGAAACUACCUUGUAUGUGGACUCACCGCCCUGGGGAACAGCAGAAUGACGGCAUUGGAGGCAGUCAACCAGGAACAGGCUGAACUUCGGCUCUAUGCUCAGCAAACCCAGUAUGCAGUGAACUAUCAGCUGGCUCAGCAAGGAGGAGUAUGUACUAUUAUCGGGGACAAGUGCAUUACCCACGUCACCGAGACCUAUAACAUUUCCCAGGCUAUCCAAGCCAUACAGGGGCAGUUGGAACAGCACAGUGAGGGACCCCGGCCUGGACAGGGUUUGUUGGGAUGGCUUAUGGGUGGUUCUUGGGGAUCAUAUUUGCUGCAUGGGUUAGUUGUUCUAGUGGUUUUCAUAGAUACCUGCUGUACAUUUAUGGCAUGCCUGAGCCCUUGCUGCAGAUUUGUGUUUGACAGGCUGGCAGCUCCCCUCUCAUCUGCAUUUUUUUCCUAUGCAGAGACUUUAAUUUAUAGAAGUAAACUCUUAUCUACCUACACUGCCCUGAAGGUUACUGCCCAGCUCGGAAUUCAGGGAAAAGCUUUCGUAACUCCUUACCUUCUCACACAUUGAUAUGCAGACACUGUCUUAAGCUUCCUGACUGAAUUAAAAUCCGAAUCAAACUGUUUCAAAUCGGCGUAGGUGGGGAAUAUUUGUAAAGGUGUGAAACCUCUAAAGCAUGUAACUUCUGUCACUGACAAAGGGGCCAGGGCACUGAUUUUGUUCUAGCCAGACACACUGGCAACUUGAAAUCACAAUCUGUCCCGGACAACAACUCGAAGUCGCCUCCUGCCAUUAGCAGCCACUUCACGAGCAAUCGAUACUCUAUCCUGGUCUUUUAUGUUCUUGAUGCAAUACUUGUUUGGUAUCCUGUCUUUGUCUGCUGCAGUAGCUGUUUCAUGAAUCAUGCCUUUUGUAAAUUGUGAAAUUGUUUUAUGUAUCAUGUCUUCUGUAAAGUAUAAAAAAGCGGGGACUGUCCGCUGCUCGGGGUGAAUUACUUGCGAGACUCUGCACUCUGUGCCGGCUUGAGUACACGGAUUCUCCACAGCUAGUACUUGCUUCGUAAUAAAAGGACCACAAAAUGUGAGGCUGGAUGAA
Stegostoma tigrinum is the source of this 3030-nucleotide long non-coding RNA. RefSeq lists it as uncharacterized. The record is from RefSeq and is a predicted model, not a curated record. NCBI's taxonomy places the organism in Eukaryota, Metazoa, Chordata, Chondrichthyes, Orectolobiformes, Stegostomatidae. The transcript has 4 exons.